GUUCAAUCCCUGGGGGGAGGGGAGGAGGGAGGGAGAGAGAGAGAUGGGAAGUAAAAAGAGGUGAGGUGGGAAAUUAAUAAGUUCACUUAGGAUGGACUUUAUAACCAUGGUAAGGAGUUGGGAAUUCAUUAUGGGAGAACAAGGAGUGUUAGGUUUAGAUAUGAGGUGUCCCCCAAAAGCUCAUGUGAAAAUAAUGCAAGAAAGUUUAGAGGUGAAAUGAUUGGGUAAUGAGAUCCUUAACCUAAUCAGUGCAUUAAUCUACUUGAGUGAAUUAGGUGGGUUGGUGGAGCAUGUCUUUGGGGUAUAUAUUUUUUUCCCUGGUGAGCCAAGCUUGAUCUCCUUCAGCUUCCUGAUUACCAUGUCCUGAGCUGCUUUCUUCCACCACACUCUUCUGCCAUGAUGUUUUGCCUCAGUUGGGCCCAGAGCAAUGGAGCCAACCACCUGUGGACUGAGACCUUUGAAACCAUGAGUGCCAAAUAAACUUUUCCUCUAAAAAUUGUUCUUGUCAGGUCCUAUGGUCACAGCAAUGAAAAAACUGACUGAAACAGGAGCUAAUGGGCCAUUUUAAAAGGGUCAAUGACAAGAUCAAACUUAAAUCUAAAAAGAUGGUUAAUGGCUAUUAUGUGUUUGACCUGAUUAAAUUAAUUUGGGCGUACAAACUAUUCACACUUGACUACAUGAAGUGUAUGUAUGAUGUGUCUACAUGAAGUGAUGCAAUUCAAGGGCUCAUGGUUUUUCUUUGGUUUUAUUUUCUAUCUUGAUUUAAGUUAUUAUUAUUUUUACUGUUAUGUAACAAAUAGAAUCCUGUAUGGCAGACUGUAUUUUCUGAUGAUGGCCAUGUCAAUAUCUCACAUCCCACAAAAUUCAUGUUACAGUGUGAUGUGGAUACUCCUCCACUGAGAUGUUGGGUCAAGAUUCCCUCCCUUUGAAUCAGUCAGACCCAUGUAAUUGCCUUGAUAAUAGAGUGUAGUAUAAAUAAUGUGACUUCUGAGGCUAUAUUAUAAAAGAUUUGCACCUCUCCUCUUUCUGUCUCUUCAUUCAAAUGACUUCAGCCUCCCAGCUUUUAAGCCUGCUGGGUUAACACCAGUAGGUGGAAUGAGAGACAAGUGGCCUCUACAAAGCACUUCAGAUUCAUGAGCAAAAUAAAUGUCAUGGCUUAAGCUAUUAAUUUUGGGUUUGAUUUGUUACUCAACAAUAGACAACUGAUAACCAUGAUCUAAGUUUCAGAUUUUAUGUAGCUAAUUUUAAGUAUCUUUUUGUGCAGUCCCCUUUUGUUUCUGAUGGCUAUAGAAUUUUAAUACCUGUGCUGGCUGCAGUAUAGAGAGAAGCAACAUCAGAUGCAGGCAUCAGUUAUAAAGAUGGUUACAGCUAUCUUAAGAAAGAGAUGAUAGUGACUUGAAGACUUCUGUGUCCACUUAGGAUAUAGAAUGCUACAGGAAAAAAAUGUCACUCACACUCUAACAAUGAGAGAAACAGCCAGAUAAUCUAUCUAAUCAUAGUUUUCCUUGAGCCCACCAGAACCCGAGGUCAUAGGCAACCAAGUAAAACCUCUCCAAGGAGAGAGAUGAACAGCCCGAGGUCACAGACAACCAAGUAAAACCUCUUCAAGAAUAGAGACGGGGGCUGGGGAUGUGGCUCAAGCGGUAGCGCGCUCGCCUGGCAUGCGUGCGGCCCAGGUUCGAUCCUCAGCACCACAUACAAACAAAGAUGUUGUGCCUGCCGAAAACUAAAAAAUA
RNAcentral lists this long non-coding RNA (1736 nucleotides) under Marmota monax (woodchuck). The record is from RNAcentral. Lineage: Eukaryota; Metazoa; Chordata; Mammalia; Rodentia; Sciuridae.